CUUCCUCUGCUUUGCUCUCAUUGUUGACAGUUUUUUAACUACUGAAAAUAAUACUUUUUUGUGGUUUGUUUUUUUGUUUAAAACCAUAGUUAAAUACCGGAUUUGCAGUAGGUAUUACGUCUGGAAUGACAUGUCGCUCGGUUAUUAGACGGAGCAGUUUGUGUGGGAAAUACUCGCACGUUUUCUUCUUCACUUGUUUGCUAGCUAAGCAACUAGCCGUCUAUAUCCUGCUAUACAGCUGCCUUGUGUCUGCGAAUCUGCACUGAAAGCCGAGAUUAUGUUUCUCGACGUGCUUCUGUUACACUUUUACUUGCUUUAAAUAAGCAGUGCAGCAUGACAUCCGAGGGAAUUGUGAUUCGGAUAAAGACCCCGCUGGGAGACAUGGACUCAUCUGUGGACUCUCCAUCACAUCUCAACUUUAAUGAUCUGCUCGUGAGUGGCUCAUCUAACUUUAGUCACAGUGUGCUUUCAUGUGCAUUCUAGAGAAACAGAGCUUUCAUGGAGAAUGUCGUUCCCUGAUGAGAGGUUUUCAGAGGAGUGCUGAUUGACAGCUGUCAGUCAACUGUGUGAUGGUUCUCUUGUUUGGCAGGACGUGAUCAGAGAAUUGUCAUGCCUGAAGCCACAGUCACCGCUUUUGAAUGUGAGCAUUGACGCUGUAUUUAAAUAGUUUUACUGUUUUCAAGAGAAGUUAGCUCAAAGCCAUGCUGUCGUAUGUGAGUAUCCCUGAGGUAUAAACAAAGCUGAGUCCUUUUUUUUUGCUGUUAAACAGUAUGGUUUCAGCAUAAUUUCUUAAAUAUUUAUUGGCAGAUUGCCAGCAAAGAACUACAUUGCCUCUAAUUAUAAACAAAGCUCCACCAAUCAGAGAAGUCACACAACACUUCCCACAAGAGAGCAUUGCAUGAAGCAUGUACUGUAAUGACUUAUAACUUACUCACAAUAUCAGAUUUUCACUGCAAAGUUAUUAUGACCAAAAUAAUUAAUUUGGAUAUCUAUAGAAAUUUUAGGCAAAAACUAUCAGUCAAAUUUAUGUUUAAGUUUGUUUUCUACAAUAAAUCACACCCAUAAUAUAAUUCUAGGGAGAUGGAGAGAGAGUUGUACAAAAAGAAAGCAUACAAAAAUAACUGCGUCUUUCUCUUUUUCUGUUUAUGAUGGGUGGUUACCAGGGUUAAGGUGCUCUGUCAGCAAUCAUUAGCACGAUUGUCAAAUCUGAUAUAUUAUGAUACCUCAUCUUGAAUCUGGUUGGUUCAUCAUGAUACUCUUCAAUAAAAAUGCAGUAAUGAAAUGUCGAUGUAGAAGACGGACAAAGAAAAAUACUUCUGGAGCCAAGGCUGCUGAAACGUGGAUUGUCAGUGUUGCACUCGGUUACAGUUUGUUGUACUAGACUUUUGUAUGCUGAAAGUGUUUUUGUUGGAAGGGAAAAGCCAUUACAAAUCUAUCAUUCCAGAUCUAAUCACCCUUGGGGAAAGUGUUUUCAUUACUUUGCUGAUUGGCAAGGAUGACAAGUAGCUACAUAUUUUCUUUUUUCUCUUCAAUUUCUUCAACUGUUUCCAGGCUGCACCUCUUGAUGCAUCUCUGGCUCGGUUACAGGUGUUAACCAAGCAAGAUUAGCAGAGGGAUGAUUGUAAUAUUAAAAUCCUGUUUAUCUGUUAUUAGUCAUUAUUUUUGUGUUGACUUUGUGAGCAGGCACAAAAAAUUUGUUUCUCAUACAUUUAAUAAAAAGCUUUCGUAAACUUUUGCCUGAUCGCCUAUUUAAACUUGUUUUCAAGUCCAGGAAUAAUGCCUACUCUUGUUUCCUCUCUGCAUUAUCUUUCUCAGAUUUCUGUUUGUUGUUUUCAAAGUUUUUCUUUUGAGACCGCCGUAAAAGUGCUUUCCAUACUUACUGCUCACACAUUGUGGACACCAAGCGUAAUGACUCGUUAUAGUUUCUCCCCCUGUGAAGUACAGUGGAAGUUAAAUGAACUAUCAACUUUUAUUAUUUAUUAUUCAAUACUUAAAGUUUCGCCUCAUUAGAAGCACAGCCCUCCUGGGUAGAGGAAUUUUUCAAAAUCCACUUUCAGCUGGUGUUGUCUUUUACCCCCCAUCAGCUCUCAAUGACUCUUGAGUAGCCAUGGGCUCCAAAACGACUGCUUCUGCAGGAAAAUGAAAUCGCUUAGGUUUGAUAUUUAUUUAUUUUUAGAUGCUUUAUCAAAGUUGCACCUCUCAAGGCCAUUGCAGUCAUUAGCCAGAUUAGGCCAGAAGGUGACACACUGACAAUGAUGUCUCGCGGGUGUCCUGCACUGCCUGAGUGUAAUUCAACUUUUUCUCCCGUCUUGAUUAAUUCUGCGGUCGCCGUGUGGCUGGUUUUGAGACACACGUUCUGACAUUGGAGAUAUUUGCGGGAAUGUGUGUGUUCUCAUUUGUUAUCGCAACAAUCUGCAGUAAUGCUUGUCUUAAGGAACAUGUCUUCAAACAUCAGCAAAGAAUUCUUUGAGGCCAUACUUCCCUGACAGUUAAUAUUACCGCACGUUGUAGAUUGCCUUCCCAUCGCAUUUUGGUUAACAGCACAACCGAGUCAACUUUUUCUGAAAAUUAGUUUUUCCUCCCAUGAUGCCGUUUGCUCCUCUGGGGAGAGCACAAGCUGCUGAGAAAGGGGGAAUUUAAUAUGCGUGUUACAUGUUCAGAAGCUUGCGCUUACAUUUAACCGAUCAUUGUGGACAUAUUUCAAGCGUGCGCCCUUUGCCUUGGUGGCGCUUGGGGUCUCUUUGGGGGCCUUUAUAAAUUUGCUUCAAUUAAUUCCAUCUGAAAGGAUCUACUGUUAUGUAGACUUAAUAGGAAUAAAGAGAUGACUUCUUGCUUUACAGGUGCGUAAGCUAAUUCGCCAAGCUCUCUGGUGGAAUCCGACCUUCAAACUGUCUUCGCUGCACGUUAUUUAUUUAUUUAUUUAACUCCAGCAGUUCUCAUCAGUCUUGUGGUCUCCGAGACCUCUCUAUCGCUCUUCUGGGGUCCCAGUGAGGUGCUUGUUACCAUCAGCCUUUCCAGGAUGUUAGUUCAAAGUUAAAGACUGACCCAUGUCAGAUGUAGCAUCGCUAACACACCCACACACCCACACACACUCACAGGCAUUGAUCUCCCAGGCUGGGCCGGCUAAUUACGGAGCGCUUUACUCAGGGUGUGUUAAUGAUCGGGGUCCAACAGAGCGGAGGUCCGACGACUCUGUUCCCUCCAGCUCUCAAGCUGCCGUCUUGUGAUCAAACUGCCUUUAGUUAUUGUCCAACAAAGGGAGGUUUCUUUUAAUACACCGUUACAGAUUAGUUAGGUAAUUGCAGCCCUAAUCGAUAAAGCAACCGAGUGGAAAAUGAAAGGUGUGUGUUUUGGUAGAGCUACAUGGUUUCAGCGCCUGCAGGCAGUGCAGAGAGGUGACAGUGAUAAAUAGGGUAUUUAAUAACAGCUGCUCUAACACUGCUUCCUCUGCAUGUCCUCGCGCACGCUCCGGCGUGUUCAUCAUGCAUUCGCACGCAGCGGAGGGACGGGACUGUACCACCGGCCCCUCAGUUAGGCUUGCUUUUGACCUUUGUCUUGUUCUGCCUUUGUCCCUCUUUCUCUCUGUCGCUGUCUUUCUUUCAAACGCUGACACUCUCCCCUCCUCUCUUGUCCAUCUGGAUCUGUGGUUUUUAAUGGCUUUAUUGUGUGUGAUGGGGGCUCUGUGUUUGGGCACAAAGGUCUCGGGCUGGACCGAGAGAAGAGAACGGGCGACCAGAUGGUUCUGUUAACCGAAACAUCAAAUAGAAUUUUUCCUUUGGCAGGAGACAAAAAUCUGUGCACGUGUUUGAAAGAGAGUGGAGUUCUUUUGGAAUAGAAUAAGCAAAAGUGCUAGAUGUCUUUAAAAACCAUUGAAUAUUUAUACAAAUGUAAAAUAAUAAAUAAAAUAUAUGAAAUUGUUAGGUAAUUGCAAUUACCUAAAUAUAUAUCAAAUAAAAUAUCACAUAUUAAAUACAUGUAUGAAACCAGUUUCUGUAUUAAAAAUACAAGAUCAGUUUUUGAUAUUGAUUAUUUAUAAAUAUAUAUAAUGUAAAUAGAAAUACAUCAUAAAUAAUAUAGAAAAUAACAAAUAAUGUAAAAUAUUAUUUAGUUUUUCAUACAUAUAUGCGAGUAUGUAUACACACACACAUAUAAUAUCACGUGAAGCUUUGAACAUUGAAUGUACAAGUAAAUGUACAGGGUGAUGAUUACAAAACAAGUAUUUAAAAACAUUUUUUAAUGGUAUAAUUAAAGAAAUUAUUAUUUUGAAUAAUUAAAGCUAAAACAAAAUACAACAAAAAGCUUGCCAUGACAUUAAUAAUAUCAUAGGUUUAUAAAUGCCAGUCUCCAUUUCAGCCUAUUAUGCAGAGUAAUUAAUUAAUAGGCAGCCGUUGCUGGCAGAUUGCUUUCCGUCAGGCUGAAAUGAGAAAACUCAAUGAUUGGUCUGCGCUUGGCAGCCAUUACAACGGAUGAAUUGAUAAAGAGGGUGACUGGUGUUUCAAAAAGAUUCGUUUCGCCUCUUUUCUUUUCCUCCCAACAUGCAAGUGACUCGGUGAGAAAGAGAAUGCAUUGCUUUUAAUCCAUGGGACUUUUUUCUGAAAGACCUUCAUCGAGCCUAAUAUUGAUUCUGUGUGUGAUAUACUGUAAAAAUGAAUUGGGCUGCUUUUUAAGAGUUUUGUUUGCACUUUAUUCUCUGCUGUAUUGCAACACAGUAAUGGAGCAACGCAUCAAUGGACUGUUACCUGUGCCUUUACAGAUAUUGCCAUGAGCCAGUAAGACCCCAGGGAUCCACAACAUACACGGCCUGGAGGUGAACAUGCGGCCCGAAUCCUCCAGUGACAGGGGCUCCUCUGCGGUCCAAUGAUAGUUUAAAGAAAUCUUCAGCUGAGUGAGCUUAAGAAGAUUUUGACAAAUGGACAGGUUAUUGCUCUCGACAUCACAGUGGAGCUGCAGAAGCAGAUCAUGUCAGAGCUUGAGAUGCUUUACAAGUGUGAUACAUCAUAAAGUUCUACGGUGCUUUCUUUGUGGAGAACAGAAUAUCGAUAUGCACUGAGUUUAUGGAUGGUGGUAAAAGGAUUAACGUACCUCUUGAGCCUGAAGAUUUUACAUAGAGAUGUGAAACCCUCCAACAUGUUGGUUAACACACAGGGUCAGAUCAAACUGUGUGACUUUGGAGUCAGGACACAGUUGGCACUGGGAUCUUUUUCAUAUCCACAGAUUCAAAAGAACCAGGGUUCCUUAAUGGCCUCUUCAGUUAUUGCAGUGCGUUGUUGAUGAGGAUCCUCCAGUGCUUCCAAUCCAAUUCCGAAUUUGUCCACUUGGUUACACAAUGGACCACCCCUUUGUCAUGCAAUAUAAUGAUGGCAACACGGAGGCCGUGUCCAUGUGGGUGUGCCGCAGUCUAGAGGAGCGCAAAAGCCAGCAAGCACAGAGACUCAUGUGAACAGCAGCAGCACCGGAUGGAAUUCUGGUGUUCACUUUACUCUUCCACUAAACCUAGAGAAGCAGCAGCUGAUCUUGCAGCAGCUCACAUAGAGCACCUCCUCCCAACCUUGAGUUCAGUGGUGCAUGGUGAGAGAACUGCUACGAGUCGAAUGCAGAUUAUGCUGCAAAUGAAGAUUUUAACCAUGUGUGUUGGUUUGCAUUGAUGAAAAAGCUUAAACUUUGUUCUUCUGCAGUGAGUUUGCAGUGAGUUUCUUUUCUGUGCAGAUUCCAAAGUAAAUGUUUUGGCAGAAGAUCCCUGCGGGGGGGCUGUUGCUUGCUCGACUCGACUUGGAUUUGAGUGAAAAUGCUGUCUCUGUCUGUACUUAAAGCAACAAUCUGGCUUUGCCAAAACAGUGUGGGCAUGUCAUAAAUCAUCAUGGUUUUUAAAUAUAUGGGGCUGUGUCAAGCAUUGCUCCCUGCUACAGUGCAAGUCAUGCUGCUGUUGUUUUAAAAGCCACUUUUUGUUGAGUUUCCAAAACAGUUGUGGCAGUAUACCAUUGAAGAUGGAAAAAUGUGAUGCAUUGUUAUGAUGGAAGGCAGUGGAUGGCUUGGGAGGAUGAGCUUUUAGAUAGUUCAGCAGCAGCCGAUGGGAAUGAUACAUGAGAGCCCAGUAGAUUUUGUUCUUGCACUCAUCCAGCAUAAGCCCCGCUGAUAACUUUAUUAAAGGGGUUCAUGGGAAUUGGUUCCUUUGAUUUGUGCAUUGCCUUAAUCUCUCUUUCUAGGUAAUUUUAUACACUUUUAGCUUUAUGUGCUCUAAAAGUUGGGGUCUGUUAAGAUGUUUUUCCAGCAUUCAGUUAAGAUGCAUUAAAAGUGACUGUAAAGACCAUAUUACAGAAGACUUCUUUUUCAAAUAAAUGUUGUUCUUUUGACCUUCCUGAAAAAAGUAUCACAGUUUCCUCAAAUAUGAAGCAGCACAACUGUUUUAACAUAGAUAAUAGUAAGAGUUUUUAUUUUUAUUUUAUGUUAUUACACCAGUGGAGACGACUGCGGAAGAAGAGUGCAAGUGGAAGUAGAGCAUUUUAUGUAAUGGAGAAUGUGUAUAGUUCUUCAAAUGUAGUCACAUACCAAAACCAAAUGUUGCAUUGUUAGAUUUUUUGAAGCUAUAUUACGUUUGUUGAACCAUUUUUUAAUAUGUACAACUGUAUUGAAUUAAUUUCUUAGAUUAUAAUGACAGUUGGUCAAAAAAAAAAAAUCUAUGAGCAACAAAACCAACCAUGUGACUACCUAUAAUAUAAUUGAGGUGAGGUUUGCACAUAAAGGUGAUUUUCUUUUUUUUUCCGCAAUAAAAACUUUCAGAUCUCAUUGUUUCA
Molecule: long non-coding RNA, 6791 nt
Organism: Carassius gibelio (silver crucian carp)
Lineage: Eukaryota; Metazoa; Chordata; Actinopteri; Cypriniformes; Cyprinidae
Exons: 13
Source: RefSeq, a predicted model, not a curated record